AUGGAUGUGAUUGUAGAUUUUCUGGUCACCGGCGUUUACUUAGGUUUCCGCCUUGAGCGGCGGGUGCAAUUCGUUUCCGUAUUAUUUUUUUAUUGGAUUUAUUUUGGGGGACUAUUUUUAUUGGUUUUUUUUAAGAAACAAGAAAGGAAUUCUAACCACUAUGAAAAUUUCAAAAUGAUCUUAUGA
Non-coding RNA from Vicia faba (fava bean), 186 nucleotides. Lineage: Eukaryota; Viridiplantae; Streptophyta; Magnoliopsida; Fabales; Fabaceae. The record is from the annotation of a GenBank genome assembly.